RNAcentral lists this ribosomal RNA (674 nucleotides) under uncultured bacterium. Its description in RNAcentral is "bacterial SSU rRNA". It matches the Rfam family "Bacterial small subunit ribosomal RNA", at positions 720 to 1398 of the family's 1533-position model. The record is from RNAcentral.
CCUUACGGGCGGUGAGUGCAACUGACGCUGAGGCUCGAAAGUGUGGGUAUCAAACAGGAUUAGAUACCCUGGUAGUCCACACAGUAAACGAUGAAUACUCGCGGUUGGUUCGUUAGAUUCAGCCGCCAAGCGAAAGCGUUAAGUAUUCCACCUGGGGAGUACGCCGGCAACGGUGAAACUCAAAGGAAUUGACGGGGGCCCGCACAAGCGGAGGAACAUGUGGUUUAAUUCGAUGAUACGCGAGGAACCUUACCCGGGCUUGAACUGCCAGUGACUCAUGCAGAGACGCAUGUUUCUUCGGACACUGGCGGAGGUGCUGCAUGGUUGUCGUCAGCUCGUGCCGUGAGGUGUCGGCUUAAGUGCCAUAACGAGCGCAACCCUUCUCCCUGUUUGCCAUCGGGUCAUGCCGGGCACUCCAGGGACACUGCCAUCGUAAGAUGUGAGGAAGGUGGGGAUGACGUCAAAUCAGCACGGCCCUUACGUCCGGGGCUACACACGUGUUACAAUGGGCGGUACAGAAAGCAGCUACCCCGCGAGGGGAUGCCAAUCUCAAAAACCGUUCUCAGUUCGGACUGGAGUCUGCAACCCGACUCCACGCAGCUGGAUUCGCUAGUAAUCGCGCAUCAGCCAUGGCGCGGUGAAUACGUUCCCGGGCCUUGUACACACCGCCCGUA